GGGCACAGGCGCUUGCGCAAUAGGGUGGCCGCUCCCGGCCGCGUGCAGCGCGAACCUCCGCGCAAGCGCCAAGGCUGGGGCAGUUGGCCGACAUGCCACUGCGCAUGUGUACCAACUACAAGGGUUGGUGCUGGGGUUGAGGCUUUCGAUUAACACCGCAGCCGAAGAGGAAGGUAAUGCUGUGCCUCUUUGUCGAGCCAAACCCACCCCCAGCUUUAUUAACCUUCAAGCAAGUUCCCCACCAGCCACUUGCCUGACAAUCCCGGCAGCAAAGCUGUCCUCAGGAAUUGACCACAAGCCCAAGGAAUGCCUAGGACUCCUAGAAUUGGGGUUUUCCAGAGGCUACAUGGAUGUGAUAUCACAACAGAUUGGAUACAGGCCCCUGAUCAACCAAGCCAUUCACCACUACCGUCCAGAACUCCAUGUAUACUCGACCUCAGGCCACUUCUGCCAUACAAAGUAAACGACUGACUAGGUGUGAUGCUCAAGGCUCUGGUCCGGGAAGGAUCUCCCUCCAUGGUGUCCUUUAGGGCCACCCCUGAGUAAGGCUGUGAUACGGCAGCAGCCCAUUUACAGCUAGCCCCAGUGUAUCAUGUUGACCCAUCUCUGGACCAGACUGGGUUUUUGUUUUAACUUUGAUUUACAGAGAAUUUAGAACAUACACAUAAGUAAAUAGUAUAUGAACUCCCAUCUAUCCCUAACUCAGGCUUAACCAUGGCCAUUUCUGUCCCAUUCAUCUCCCCUCUCAUGAUAUUUUAAACAAGUUGCACACAUUACAUAAUUUCACUGUAAAUAUUUUAGUAUGUAUCACUAAAAUAUAAAUGCUUUUGAAAAAUGACAUUAUUAUUGCACUUGAAAAUAGCAAUAAUACCUUAAUAUCAAAUAUAUAGGAAGUGUUCAAAAUCAGACCUGAGUUUUUGUUCCUCUGUCAGUUGGUCUUGGAAAGUUUCCCACGAGGCCAUAAAUAUAAGUUGAGGGAAAAGCACUGGCGCAAAGGACAUAGACAGUCUGGACCACCAGUUGAUGUAAUUAGCAUGGGUCUUUUGGCUCUGCUCAGGCCUAAUCCCAAAUAUGCCAUUUUCCCAUUGUACAAUUGAUUGCUGCUGUGCCCCCCCAAUCUUAUGACUCAGUGGAUCUGAUAAUACCCAGUCAAGAUGAGUAGCUCUGGAUGAAUAGUCACUCGAUGUCCCAUAGUCAGUGCUGGGUCUGUGCUCAAGCCCUAUAGCCCAUUUUUCAAAUGAUAACAUUCUCUUUCACAGUAGGCAGAGUUUGGCCCCAGAACCCUGAGUCUGUGUUACAGCCCUCCUAUUGGGGCUUUUUAGAGACUCUCUACAACGUUCUAAUCCACUGUAGAGGCCUUUGGAUUCAUUGUGUUUUUUGUGUGUCAUGUGGCUUUAGUGGCAGGACAGCUUCAAUCAUAGCCUGGACAUGCCAUAGAGCUCUCUCUUGCUUUGAACCCCACUCAAAACUGAUAGCCCUUCAGGUCACAAUAAAUGGUUUGGAGCAAUAUUCCCAUGUGUGGGAUAUGUUGCCUCCAGAAUCUAAAGAGUUCUGCCAGCUUCCCUGGUGGCGCAGUGGUUGAGAGUCCGCCUGCCAAUGCAGGGGACACGGGUUCGUGCCCCGGUCUGGGAAGAUCCCACAUGCCGCGGAGUGGCUGGGCCCGUGAGCCAUGGCCGCUGAGCCUGUGCAUCCGGAGCCUGUGCUCCGCAAUGGGAGAGGCCACAAGAGUGAGAGGCCCGCGUACCGCAAAAAAACCCAAACCAAACAAAACAAACAACAACAGCAAAAAUGUUAAUUAUAUUUAUUUAUUUGAGGCUUCCCUGGUGGCACAGUAGUUAAGAACACGCCUGCCAACGCAGGGGACAUGGGUUUGAGCCCUGCUCCAGGAAGAUCCCACAUGCCGCGGGGCAACUAAGCCUGUGCACCACAGCUACUGAGCCUGUGCUCUAGAGCCUGUGCUCCGCAACAGGAGAAGCCACCGCCAUGAGAAGCCCGUGCUGCAACGAAGAGUAGCACCCCCCUUGCGGCAAACAGAGAAAGCUCGCUCAGCAAAGACCCAACGCAGCCAAAAAAAAAAUAAUAAUAAUAACUUAUUUGGCCAUGUGGCAUAUGGGAUUUAAGUUCCCUGACCAGGGAUCGAAGCCAUGCCCCCUGCAGUGGAAGCGAGGAGUCUUAACCACAGACCACCAGGGAGGUCCCCAGUAAUGUCUUCACUUUAAGGGCAUAAAACUUUAGAGGCCCAAAAGGGUGUACCACACAGUAAAGUUUCCCUCCUGCAUCCGGGUCUCCACCACGCAGUUCCCAUCCCAGAGGCAACUAAUGUUUCUGGUCUCUCCUGUAUCCUCCCAGAGCUGCUCAGACAUUUAGUUAUAAAAGUAAACACCGGCCCCUCACCAGGCCAUUCAUCUGUUUCCUAAAUGCGUGGUAAGCACCUUCUCAGCCAGGCUCUAGGCGGCCAGAGAGAACCCUUACCCCUUAGGGGAUCUAGGGGUUGCAGGGGAGAGGAAGAUCUCUCAGAAGGGCAGAAACGGAGCAGAAGGGAUGGCUUUCCAAGGAGAGGGAACAGCAUAUGCAAAGGCUUAGCGGUGUGACACCUGAUGUGUGUCCAGGUCCCUAGUGUGCCUUCUGCAUGCGAGGCAGGAGGGGGUCUGCACCACCUCAGUCAGGCUGGACUCCCAGAGUCCGGGGUCUUUGGGCUACAACCUGCAUGCUCUUGCCCCUCAGCCUGAGGUCUCUCAGAGUCUAGAGAGGGUUUGUUCAUCCGUCCCUUCCUAGAAAGGAGCCACCCCUGGCCAGUGGGACCCCUGGCGUCUGCUUAGCCAGGGGGCUGGGCCCAGCCCUAGUCCCGAGGGGGAGACCUACUUUACCAUGGUUGUGAGGGUGAAAUCAGUUUAUAGAGUGUUUUGUACAAUGCUCGACACAGAGUACGUUUGCAGUUCGUGUUGGCGUUGUAACUGUUCCCAGGACACCCUAACCAUCCCCGUCUCAAUGUCCUCUCUCUGUGGGAACGUCAGUAUCCUCCUUGCUCACUCCUGGCCCCCCAGAUUCUUCUCCAGGCUCCCAGAACUCCACUGAACCGCAGCCUUCCCCUUGGUUUCUCAGGAAGGGCAGUAGGGGGAGCCUCGCCGGGGCACAGGACCCUGUGAGCUGAGGUGUUCACAGUGGAGAGAAAGACUGCCCCUCCUGGCCCCUCAACUCCGCCUCUUCUCACCCAUCCUCCUUUAAAAGGAACCCACCCCCCACUCAUUACCGAGCCCCAGCAGCCAGGCCCUGGCGAAAGCCCUGGCUAAAGGCAGCAAUUAGAUCGUUAGCACCAGCCCCAACCCACCUGCUUGGAGUCCCUCAAACGCAUUUUAAUUAUAAUCCCUUAAUCUCCCUCAGAUGGCGAGGCUGGCUCUAGGGCUUUUGCCCCAAAUAGCCCCUUCCCUCACUCUCUUCCCCCAAUUAAGGGGUCCUCUCAGCAGAGAGCCCCUCUCCCAGCUAAAGGCCUCCCCUCCUGGGAGCGGCCGCCUCACGGGCUCUGUCGCCCUCUCUACGGGAAGUGGCCCCAGAUGGCCGGCUAGUCCGCCUGACGUUCCCAUGUGUGUGGCUGCGCCCCCUCGGAUAAUGUGCCUCCUGCCUGGGCACGAGCUGAGAUGCCUGGGACCACUUGUCUCUGCCUUGGUCUCCUCUUGUCCUGGUUUCUUUGUGUCCUCCGGGUAGCAUCUCCCCCCCGACCCUUUCACAAUGACUUCUAUUUUCCUGUCAACCCAUCCAUGCCACCCUGUCCGGGCCAGCUGUCUCCUUGGCAAUUCCAUGCAGGAGCAGCCAGGUUCUGUCACAGGUGGAACUGAGGCCAGGGCCCUGACGGGACGUCUCCUGGUGGCAGCGCUAUAGUGACCUCCAGCUGACCUCAGCAGAGUGCAGCCUUGCCCUCCCGCCCCUCGUUGCCCAUCAGGGCUCUGAGACCCUCCGCCACGUAGGGACUGGCAGAACAUUGGGCGGCCUCUGUCCCUGAGCUCUGAGCAGGGCAGAGGCAGGGGGAGGGACAAGAUGACCCAGCAUGUGGCCCUGUCUGAAGCUGAGCCUGGAUGAAGCUCUUUCCUGGGAAAGUUCUGUCACUAAUUGACUUGCAAAUGCCUUGUUUGUCCCCAGAUUCAUAAUUAGUGCUAAGGAUUUCUAGGGCCCCAUCCCGGAGGGGGCUUUUUUUGGGGCAGCCUGUUCCUCUCCCCUCUCUGAGGUCGGCCGGGCUGGGGGUGGGCAGAGCCGGGCACCGGUGCCCAGCUGCCGUCCAGCGUUCCCACGGCUCUGGUGCCAGCGUGUGAAAGGCGAGGUGUGGGGGACGCGGGGGCUGGGGCUCCCCGCCAUCCUUCAGCCGGGACCAGGGCCAAAGCCCUGAGGCUCCAGGAAACACCAGAGCUGGGGAGCGGAGCGGGCAGUGGCAGUGGGUGGGGGCCGGCUGGCACCCCCAGGAAGGAGAGCCCAGCCGGUGCCUGGGCUGGCAUUGGCCGAGCCUCCAGCAAAAUGAAUGGGCCAACAAGGGGCCUCUCUUCCCCACAGCUUCCCCACAAAGGC
Molecule: RNA transcript, 4554 nt
Organism: Orcinus orca (killer whale)
Lineage: Eukaryota; Metazoa; Chordata; Mammalia; Artiodactyla; Delphinidae
Exons: 6
Source: RefSeq, a predicted model, not a curated record